UACGUAGGGGGCAAGCGUUGUCCGGAUUUAUUGGGCGUAAAGAGCGUGUAGGCGGUCUGGUAGGUCCGUUGUGAAAACUCGAGGCUCAACCUCGAGACGCCGAUGGAAACCAUCAGACUAGAGUCCGGAAGAGGAGAGUGGAAUCCUGGUGUAGCGGUGAAAUGCGCAGAUAUCAGGAAGAACACCCGUGGCUAAGGCGGCUCUCUAGUACGGUACUGACGCUGAGACGCGAAAGCGUGGGGAGCGAACAGG
This 252-nucleotide ribosomal RNA is filed under the name uncultured bacterium. RNAcentral describes it as "partial 16S ribosomal RNA". It matches the Rfam family "Bacterial small subunit ribosomal RNA", at positions 524 to 776 of the family's 1533-position model. The record is from RNAcentral.